UACGGGAGGCAGCAGUGGGGAAUAUUGCACAAUGGGCGAAAGCCUGAUGCAGCUAUGCCGCGUGUAUGAAGAAGGCCUUAGGGUUGUAAAGUACUUUCAUCGGGGAGGAAAAAACAAAACUAAUAAUUUUAUUUCUUGACGUUACCCGAAAAAGAAGCACCGGCUAACUCCGUGCCAGCAGCCGCGGUAAUACGGAGGGUGCUAGCGUUAAUCAGAAUUACUGGGCGUAAAGAGCACGUAGGUGGUUUUUUUAAGUCAGAUGUGAAAUCCCUGGGCUUAACCUGGAACUGCAUUUUGAAACUGAAAUACUAGAGUAUCGUAGAGGGAGGUAGAAUUCUAGGUGUAGCGGUGAAAUGCGUAGAUAUCUGGAGGAAUACCUGUGGCGAAAGCGGCCUCCUAAACGAAUACUGACACUGAGGUGCGAAAGCGUUGGGGAGCAAACGAGGAUUAGAUACC
This 456-nucleotide ribosomal RNA is filed under the name uncultured bacterium. RNAcentral describes it as "bacterial SSU rRNA". It matches the Rfam family "Bacterial small subunit ribosomal RNA", at positions 340 to 786 of the family's 1533-position model. The record is from RNAcentral.